GGCCGCCUGGCGAAAUGGUAUCGCGUCUGACUACGAGUCGUAUUGAUCAGGAGAUUGCAGGUUCGAGCCCUGCGGUGGUCA
Transfer RNA from Rhizoctonia solani 123E, 81 nucleotides. It matches the Rfam family "tRNA". Rfam says of the family: Transfer RNA (tRNA) molecules are approximately 80 nucleotides in length. Their secondary structure includes four short double-helical elements and three loops (D, anti-codon, and T loops). Further hydrogen bonds mediate the characteristic L-shaped molecular structure. tRNAs have two regions of fundamental functional importance: the anti-codon, which is responsible for specific mRNA codon recognition, and the 3' end, to which the tRNAs corresponding amino acid is attached (by aminoacyl-tRNA synthetases). tRNAs cope with the degeneracy of the genetic code in two manners: having more than one tRNA (with a specific anti-codon) for a particular amino acid; and 'wobble' base-pairing, i.e. permitting non-standard base-pairing at the 3rd anti-codon position. Lineage: Eukaryota; Fungi; Basidiomycota; Agaricomycetes; Cantharellales; Ceratobasidiaceae. The record is from Rfam.